UACGAAGGGGGCUAGCGUUGCUCGGAAUCACUGGGCGUAAAGCGCACGUAGGCGGAUUGCUAAGUCAGGGGUGAAAUCCUGGAGCUCAACUCCAGAACUGCCUUUGAUACUGGCAACCUUGAGUCCGGGAGAGGUGAGUGGAACUGCGAGUGUAGAGGUGAAAUGCGUAGAUAUUGGGAGGAACACCAGUGGCGAAGGCGGCUCACUGGACCGGAACUGACGCUGAGGCGCGAAAGCGUGGGGAGCAAACGGG
RNAcentral lists this ribosomal RNA (253 nucleotides) under uncultured bacterium. RNAcentral describes it as "partial 16S ribosomal RNA". It matches the Rfam family "Bacterial small subunit ribosomal RNA", at positions 524 to 776 of the family's 1533-position model. The record is from RNAcentral.